This 424-nucleotide ribosomal RNA is filed under the name uncultured Flavobacterium sp. RNAcentral's name for it is "bacterial SSU rRNA". It matches the Rfam family "Bacterial small subunit ribosomal RNA", at positions 355 to 776 of the family's 1533-position model. The record is from RNAcentral. Lineage: Bacteria; Pseudomonadati; Bacteroidota; Flavobacteriia; Flavobacteriales; Flavobacteriaceae.
UGAGGAAUAUUGGUCAAUGGGCGCAAGCCUGAACCAGCCAUGCCGCGUGCAGGAAGAAGCAUCUAUGGUGUGUAAACUGCUUUUAUACAGGAAGAAACACCUCCACGUGUGGAGGCUUGACGGUACUGUAGGAAUAAGGAUCGGCUAACUCCGUGCCAGCAGCCGCGGUAAUACGGAGGAUCCAAGCGUUAUCCGGAAUCAUUGGGUUUAAAGGGUCCGUAGGCGGUCUUAUAAGUCAGUGGUGAAAGCCCAUCGCUCAACGAUGGAACUGCCAUUGAUACUGUAAGACUUGAAUUUUUGUGAAGUAACUAGAAUAUGUAGUGUAGCGGUGAAAUGCUUAGAUAUUACAUGGAAUACCAAUUGCGAAGGCAGGUUACUAACAAACGAUUGACGCUGAUGGACGAAAGCGUGGGGAGCGAACAGG